RNAcentral lists this ribosomal RNA (506 nucleotides) under uncultured bacterium. Its description in RNAcentral is "partial 16S ribosomal RNA". It matches the Rfam family "Bacterial small subunit ribosomal RNA", at positions 29 to 523 of the family's 1533-position model. The record is from RNAcentral.
AGUGAACGCUGGCGGUAGGCCUAACACAUGCAAGUCGAACGGCAGCACAGAGGAGCUUGCUCCUUGGGUGGCGAGUGGCGGACGGGUGAGGAAUACAUCGGAAUCUACUCUGUCGUGGGGGGUAACGUAGGGAAACUUACGCUAAUACCGCAUACGACCUACGGGUGAAAGCAGGGGAUCUUCGGACCUUGCGCGAUUGAAUGAGCCGAUGUCGGAUUAGCUAGUUGGCGGGGUAAAGGCCCACCAAGGCGACGAUCCGUAGCUGGUCUGAGAGGAUGAUCAGCCACACUGGAACUGAUACACGGUCCAGAGUCCUACGGGAGGCAGCAGUGGGGAAUAUUGGACAAUGGGCGCAAGCCUGAUCCAGCCAUACCGCGUGGGUGAAGAAGGCCUUCGGGUUGUAAAGCCCUUUUGUUGGGAAAGAAAUCCAUCUGGUUAAUACCCGGGUGGGAUGACGGUACCCAAAGAAUAAGCACCGGCUAACUUCGUGCCAGCCGCCGCAGUAA